UACGUAGGGGGCAAGCGUUGUCCGGAAUUAUUGGGCGUAAAGAGCGCGUAGGCGGUCCGAUAAGUCGGCUGUGAAAGUCAGGGGCUCAACCCUUGAAAGCCGGCCGAUACUGUCGGACUAGAGUCCGGAAGAGGCAAGUGGAAUUCCUGGUGUAGCGGUGAAAUGCGCAGAUAUCAGGAGGAACACCGAUGGCGAAGGCAGGUCUCUGGGCCAUAACUGACGCUGAGAAGCGAAAGCAUGGGGAGCGAACAGG
Molecule: ribosomal RNA, 253 nt
Filed under: uncultured bacterium
Lineage: Bacteria
Description: partial 16S ribosomal RNA
Rfam family: Bacterial small subunit ribosomal RNA
Source: RNAcentral